GUGGUAGCUCAGCUGGUUAGAGCAGGAUGUUUCAUCUCCGUUGUCGUGGUCGCCGUCGGUCUUGUUGUCUGCGUUGUCGUGCGAAUGCAAGUGAAACUCCAUUGUCGCGGGUUCGAAUCCCGCCCGUCACG
RNAcentral lists this transfer RNA (131 nucleotides) under Xanthomonas arboricola. RNAcentral describes it as "tRNA-Ser". The record is from RNAcentral. Lineage: Bacteria; Pseudomonadati; Pseudomonadota; Gammaproteobacteria; Lysobacterales; Lysobacteraceae.